GCUGAAUUUUUCAGCUCGUUUAACAAAUGAGCCGAACACGAGCUAGAGUCAGCUCGCUGGUAUGUGGCUCGAUAACAGUUCGAAUACAUAUAUUUUAUAUUUAUAUAAUUUAUUUAGUUUAUAUUUAUAUAUAUAAAUAAUUAAUUAUAUAUAUAAUAUAUAUUUUUAUUAUUUUAUUUUUAGCAAAAUAAAAAUAUAAAGUCGAGCUCAAUUAUAAAAAAACUCAUUUAUAUAUAAGUUUCAACCAUAUGAUUAAAAUCUAAUGAAUAAGAUUUUAUAAAUUUAUUUUUUAUAUAUAUUCAAUCUAAUCAUUUUAACUUAUUGUUUGUUGGUCAGCUCGUGUUCGGCUCGUUAUUAACGAG
This 362-nucleotide long non-coding RNA is filed under the name Ananas comosus (pineapple). Its description in RNAcentral is "long non-coding RNA (ACOM_LNC034160)". The record is from RNAcentral. Lineage: Eukaryota; Viridiplantae; Streptophyta; Magnoliopsida; Poales; Bromeliaceae.